CCUUACGGGUGGCUGCAGUGGGGAAUAUUGGACAAUGGGCGAAAGCCUGAUCCAGCCAUGCCGCGUGUGUGAAGAAGGCCUUCGGGUUGUAAAGCACUUUCAGUGGGGAAGAAAGCCUUGGGGCUAAUACCCUCGAGGAAGGACAUCACCCACAGAAGAAGCACCGGCUAACUCCGUGCCAGCAGCCGCGGUAAUACGGAGGGUGCGAGCGUUAAUCGGAAUUACUGGGCGUAAAGCGCGCGUAGGCGGUCUGAUAAGCCGGUUGUGAAAGCCCCGGGCUCAACCUGGGAACGGCAUCCGGAACUGUCAGGCUAGAGUGCAGGAGAGGAAGGUAGAAUUCCCGGUGUAGCGGUGAAAUGCGUAGAGAUCGGGAGGAAUACCAGUGGCGAAGGCGGCCUUCUGGACUGACACUGACGCUGAGGUGCGAAAGCGUGGGUAGCAAACAGGAUUAGAUACCCUGGUAGUC
Molecule: ribosomal RNA, 466 nt
Filed under: Vreelandella stevensii
Lineage: Bacteria; Pseudomonadati; Pseudomonadota; Gammaproteobacteria; Oceanospirillales; Halomonadaceae
Description: partial 16S ribosomal RNA
Rfam family: Bacterial small subunit ribosomal RNA
Source: RNAcentral